AGGGAUGUAGCUCAGUGGCAUGGCGCCUGCCUGGCAAGCGCGAGGCCCUGAGUUCGAUUCCCGGUACCCCCC
This is a non-coding RNA of Heterocephalus glaber (naked mole-rat), 72 nucleotides long. The record is from Rfam. NCBI's taxonomy places the organism in Eukaryota, Metazoa, Chordata, Mammalia, Rodentia, Bathyergidae.